Molecule: ribosomal RNA, 465 nt
Filed under: Vreelandella stevensii
Lineage: Bacteria; Pseudomonadati; Pseudomonadota; Gammaproteobacteria; Oceanospirillales; Halomonadaceae
Description: partial 16S ribosomal RNA
Rfam family: Bacterial small subunit ribosomal RNA
Source: RNAcentral
CCUACGGGAGGCAGCAGUGGGGAAUAUUGGACAAUGGGGGCAACCCUGAUCCAGCCAUGCCGCGUGUGUGAAGAAGGCCCUCGGGUUGUAAAGCACUUUCAGUGAGGAAGAACGCCUGGUGGUUAAUACCCAUCAGGAAAGACAUCACUCACAGAAGAAGCACCGGCUAACUCCGUGCCAGCAGCCGCGGUAAUACGGAGGGUGCGAGCGUUAAUCGGAAUUACUGGGCGUAAAGCGCGCGUAGGUGGCUUGAUAAGCCGGUUGUGAAAGCCCCGGGCUCAACCUGGGAACGGCAUCCGGAGCUGUCAAGCUAGAGUGCAGGAGAGGAAGGUAGAAUUCCCGGUGUAGCGGUGAAAUGCGUAGAGAUCGGGAGGAAUACCAGUGGCGAAGGCGGCCUUCUGGAUUGACACUGACACUGAGGUGCGAAAGCGUGGGUAGCAAACAGGAUUAGAUACCCCGGUAGUC